This 329-nucleotide unclassified non-coding RNA is filed under the name soil metagenome. RNAcentral's name for it is "partial contains 5.8S ribosomal RNA, internal transcribed spacer 2, and large subunit ribosomal RNA". The stretch from base 1 to 121 matches the Rfam family "5.8S ribosomal RNA", at positions 35 to 154 of the family's 154-position model. The record is from RNAcentral.
GAUGAAGAACGCAGCGAAAUGCGAUAAGUAAUGCGAAUUGCAGAAUUUCCGUGAGUCAUCGAAUCUUUGAACGCACAUUGCGCCCCCUGGUAUUCCGGGGGGCAUGCCUGUCCGAGCGUCAUUACAACCCUCAAGCUCAGCUUGGUGUUGGGCCCCGCCGCCCCGGCGGGCCCUAAAGUCAGUGGCGGUGCCGUCCGGCUCCGAGCGUAGUAAUUCUUCUCGCUCUGGAGGUCCGGUCGUGUGCUCGCCAGCAACCCCCAAUUUUUUUCAGGUUGACCUCGGAUCAGGUAGGGAUACCCGCUGAACUUAAGCAUAUAAUAAGCGGAGGA